RNAcentral lists this ribosomal RNA (501 nucleotides) under uncultured Streptococcaceae bacterium. Its description in RNAcentral is "bacterial SSU rRNA". It matches the Rfam family "Bacterial small subunit ribosomal RNA", at positions 25 to 507 of the family's 1533-position model. Lineage: Bacteria; Bacillati; Bacillota; Bacilli; Lactobacillales; Streptococcaceae. The record is from RNAcentral.
CAGGACGACGCUGGCGGCGUGCCUAAUACAUGCAAGUCGAGCGAUGAUUGAAGAUAGCUUGCUAUUUUCAUGAAGAGCGGCGAACGGGUGAGUAACGCGUGGGAAAUCUGCCGAGUAGCGGGGGACAACGUUUGGAAACGAACGCUAAUACCGCAUAACAAUGAGAAUCGCAUGAUUCUUAUUUGAAAGAAGCAAUUGCUUCACUACUUGAUGAUCCCGCGUUGUAUUAGCUAGUUGGUAGUGUAAAGGACUACCAAGGCGAUGAUACAUAGCCGACCUGAGAGGGUGAUCGGCCACACUGGGACUGAGACACGACCCAGACUCCUACGGGAGGCAGCAGUAGGGAAUCUUCGGCAAUGGGGGCAACCCUGACCGAGCAACGCCGCGUGAGUGAAGAAGGUUUUCGGAUCGUAAAACUCUGUUGUUAGAGAAGAACGUUAAGUAGAGUGGAAAAUUACUUAAGUGACGGUAUCUAACCAGAAAGGGACGGCUAACUACGUG